This 412-nucleotide ribosomal RNA is filed under the name Zyzygomyces bachmannii. RNAcentral describes it as "LSU rRNA". It matches the Rfam family "Eukaryotic large subunit ribosomal RNA", at positions 1 to 407 of the family's 3401-position model. Lineage: Eukaryota; Fungi; Basidiomycota; Tremellomycetes; Filobasidiales; Filobasidiaceae. The record is from RNAcentral.
GGCCUCAAAUCAGGUAGGACUACCCGCUGAACUUAAGCAUAUCAAUAAGCGGAGGAAAAGAAACUAACAAGGAUUCCCCUAGUAACGGCGAGUGAAGCGGGAAGAGCUCAAAUUUGAAAUCUGGUGGACUUUGUUCAUCCGAGUUGUAAUCUAGAGAAGUGUUUUCCGUGCCGGCCAAUGUACAAGUCCCUUGGAACAGGGCGUCAUAGAGGGUGAGAAUCCCGUACUUGACAUUGAUCACCGGCGCUCUGUGAUACAUUUUCAAAGAGUCGAGUUGUUUGGGAAUGCAGCUCAAAACGGGUGGUAAAUUCCAUCUAAAGCUAAAUAUUGGCGAGAGACCGAUAGCGAACAAGUACCGUGAGGGAAAGAUGAAAAGCACUUUGGAAAGAGAGUUAAACAGUAUGUGAAAUUG